GAGUUUGAUCCUGGCUCAGAGCGAACGCUGGCGGCGUGCUUAACACAUGCAAGUCGAACGCGCAGUCUUCUGUAGCAAUACAGGAGGCCGGCGCGUGGCGAACGGGUGCGUAACACGUGGAUAACCUUCCUUCAGGUGGGGAAUAACCCAGUGAAAAUUGGGCUAAUACCGCAUAACAUGACGAUGGCACAUGCCGUUGUCUUCAAAGCCGCAAGGCGCCAGAUGAGGGAUCCGCGGCCGAUUAGCUAGUUGGCGAGGUAAUGGCUCACCAAGGCAAUGAUCGGUAGCCGGACUGAGAGGUUGGCCGGCCACACUGGAACUGAGACACGGUCCAGACUCCUACGGGAGGCAGCAGUGGGGAAUCUUGCGCAAUGGACGAAAGUCUGACGCAGCAACGCCGCGUGGGGGAUGAAGCUUCUCGGAGUGUAAACCCCUUUCGACCCGGACGAAUGCCCGCAAGGGUUUGACGGUACGGGUAUAAGAAGCCCCGGCUAACUACGUGCCAGCAGCCGCGGUAAAACGUAGGGGGCCAGCGUUGCUCGGAAUUACUGGGCGUAAAGGGUCCGUAGGCGGUGUGGCAAGUCGGAAGUGAAAUCUCUGGGCUUAACUCAGAGGCUGCUCCCGAAACUGCCAUGCUAGAGUGUGAGAGAGGCGAGUGGAAUUGCGGGUGUAGCGGUGAAAUGCGUAGAUAUCCGCAGGAACAUCCGAGGCGAAAGCGGCUCGCUGGAUCACAACUGACGCUGAGGGACGAAAGCUAGGGGAGCAAACAGGAUUAGAUACCCUGGUAGUCCACGCCGUAAACGAUGAUAACUAGCUGUUGGGAAGAUAAAACUUCUUAGUAGCGAAGCUAACGCGAUAAGUUAUCCGCCUGGGGAGUACGGCCGCAAGGUUAAAACUCAAAGGAAUUGACGGGGGCCCGCACAAGCGGUGGAGCAUGUGGUUUAAUUCGAUGCAACGCGAAGAACCUUACCUACUCUUGACAUCCUCAGAAUUUGUCUGAAAAGACUUAGUGCCUUCGGGAACUGAGAGACAGGUGCUGCAUGGCUGUCGUCAGCUCGUGUCGUGAGAUGUUGGGUUAAGUCCCGUAACGAGCGCAACCCCUAUCCUUACUUGCCAUCAGGUUAUGCUGGGAACUUUAAGGAGACUGCCGGUGAUAAACCGGAGGAAGGUGGGGACGACGUCAAGUCAUCAUGGCCCUUAUGAGUAGGGCUACACACGUGCUACAAUGGUCGGUACAAAGGGUUGCGAAGCCGCGAGGUGAAGCUAAUCUCAAAAAGCCGAUCUCAGUCCGGAUUGGAGUCUGCAACUCGACUCCAUGAAGAUGGAAUCGCUAGUAAUCGCGAAUCAGAACGUCGCGGUGAUACGUUCUCGGGCCUUGCACACAC
RNAcentral lists this ribosomal RNA (1385 nucleotides) under uncultured bacterium. Its description in RNAcentral is "bacterial SSU rRNA". It matches the Rfam family "Bacterial small subunit ribosomal RNA". The record is from RNAcentral.